RNAcentral lists this long non-coding RNA (685 nucleotides) under Volvox carteri. Its description in RNAcentral is "long non-coding RNA (VCAR_LNC001904)". The record is from RNAcentral. Lineage: Eukaryota; Viridiplantae; Chlorophyta; Chlorophyceae; Chlamydomonadales; Volvocaceae.
GACAAUGUGACUAUUGAGCACGAGGCCUUCGAUGGCAUGAGCGGUAAGCUGGCUGUCAGCAUUGCUAGCCCAAAGUGUGCAGAGUUGCCCUGUGCUUCUCUACUUUUGCCGUCUUUUGAAUUCCAGUACCUUGACAACUAUUCUGCUGUCUUGUUAUGAUAUGGCUUAAAGCAAGAGCUUUGACCCUAUGACGACAUUCUGGAUCAGGUGGUCUGAUCCUUCCUUGCUCCCGAUUGCCAAAUGCAUAACCACAGCAACUUUCAGACUGGCCAUCUUGUGUGCGUUCCUGGAUGGCAUUCUUCAUGGCGACUAUGAUCCCUGCGUGGAUGAUCCAUGCCGUUUGACAAGUGCCAAAGCCAUCGCUAGCAGACAACAUAACAUUGUCAUGUUCGAUGUUCACAUUUCCUCACCAUGGGUCCCUUCAACAGUAGCGGUCACAGUUAAGGAGGUCAAGCAAGCGACGACAUAGAAGGAUGCACAACCUGCUGGGAAUGACAAAGGAGUUUUGAGGGCACAACCAUGACCCUACAGACCUUCGGGGGUAAGUCCGCGAAUGUGUAUGUACCAGACUGCACGACAGUGGGGCUGCACGCGUUACCUAUGUUAUCUUGGUGCUUGCAGUGAAGGUAUCAAAUGACAUCCUGGCUGCUUACAAGGUCUCCACCAUCAACCCCAUGGGCAACGG